UGCAAGUCGUACGCGUUGGCCCAACCGAUUUGAAGUGCUUGCACGGAUCUGACGUUGGUUUACCAACGAGUGGCGGACGGGUGAGUAACACGUAGGUAACCUGCCCAGAAGCGGGGGACAACACUUGGAAACAGGUGCUAAUACCGCAUAACAAUUCAAAUCGCAUGAUUUGAAUUUGAAAGAUGGUUUUGGCUAUCACUUCUGGAUGGACCUGCGGCGCAUUAGCUUGUUGGUGGGGUAACGGCCUACCAAGGCAGUGAUGCGUAGCCGAAUUGAGAGACUGAUCGGCCACAAUGGGACUGAGACACGGCCCAUACUCCUACGGGAGGCAGCAGUAGGGAAUCUUCCACAAUGGGCGCAAGCCUGAUGGAGCAACACCGCGUGAGUGAAGAAGGUUUUCGGAUCGUAAAGCUCUGUUGUUGAAGAAGAACGUGCAUGAGAGUAACUGUUCAUGCAGUGACGGUAUUCAACCAGAAAGUCACGGCUAACUACGUGCCAGCAGCCGCGGUAAUACGUAGGUGGCAAGCGUUAUCCGGAUUUAUUGGGCGUAAAGAGAGUGCAGGCGGUUUCUUAAGUCUGAUGUGAAAGCCUUCGGCUCAACCGAAGAAGUGCAUCGGAAACUGGGGAACUUGAGUACAGAAGAGGGCAGUGGAACUCCAUGUGUAGCGGUGGAAUGCGUAGAUAUAUGGAAGAACACCAGUGGCGAAGGCGGCUGCCUGGUCUGUAACUGACGCUGAGACUCGAAAGCAUGGGUAGCGAACAGGAUUAGAUACCCUGGUAGUCCAUGCCGUAAACGAUGAGUGCUAGGUGUUGGAGGGUUUCCGCCCUUCAGUGCCGGAGCUAACGCAUUAAGCACUCCGCCUGGGGAGUACGACCGCAAGGUUGAAACUCAAAGGAAUUGACGGGGGCCCGCACAAGCGGUGGAGCAUGUGGUUUAAUUCGAAGCUACGCGAAGAACCUUACCAGGUCUUGACAUCUUGCGCCAACCCUAGAGAUAGGGCGUUUCCUUCGGGAACGCAAUGACAGGUGGUGCAUGGUCGUCGUCAGCUCGUGUCGUGAGAUGUUGGGUUAAGUCCCGCAACGAGCGCAACCCUUGUUACUAGUUGCCAGCAUUAAGUUGGGCACUCUAGUGAGACUGCCGGUGACAAACCGGAGGAAGGUGGGGACGACGUCAGAUCAUCAUGCCCCUUACGACCUGGGCUACACACGUGCUACAAUGGACGGUACAACGAGCAGCGAACUCGCGAGGGCAAGCAAAUCUCUUAAAACCGUUCUCAGUUCGAAUUGCAGGCUGCAACUCGCCUGCAUGAAGUCGGAAUCGCUAGUAAUCGCGGAUCAGCAUGCCGCGGUGAAUACGUUCCCGGGCCUUGUACACACCGCCCGUCACACCAUGAGAGUUUGUAACACCCAAAGUCGGUGGGGUAACCUUUGGAG
Molecule: ribosomal RNA, 1434 nt
Filed under: uncultured methanogenic archaeon
Lineage: Archaea; Methanobacteriati; Methanobacteriota
Description: 16S ribosomal RNA
Rfam family: Bacterial small subunit ribosomal RNA
Source: RNAcentral